Molecule: ribosomal RNA, 462 nt
Filed under: uncultured bacterium
Lineage: Bacteria
Description: partial 16S ribosomal RNA
Rfam family: Bacterial small subunit ribosomal RNA
Source: RNAcentral
CCUACGGGUGGCAGCAGUGAGGAAUAUUGGUCAAUGGACGCAAGUCUGAACCAGCCAAGUAGCGUGCAGGAUGACGGCCCUCCGGGUUGUAAACUGCUUUUAGUUGGGAAUAAAAGGGGGCUCGUGAGCCCCGUAUUGUAUGUACCAUCAGAAAAAGGACCGGCUAAUUCCGUGCCAGCAGCCGCGGUAAUACGGAAGGUCCGGGCGUUAGCCGGGUUUAUUGGGUUUAAAGGGAGCGUGGGGCGGCUUUUAAGUAAGCUGGGAAAGUCGGGGGGUCAACAGUGGAAUUGCCGUUGAAACUGGAGGCCUUGAGUGCACACAGGGAUGCAGGAAGUCAUGGUGUAGCGGUGAAAUGCUUAGAUAUCAUGAAGAACUCCGAGCGCGAAGGCAAGUGUCCGGGGUGCAACUGACGCUGAGGCUCGAAAGUGCGGGUAUCAAACAGGAUUAGAUACCCCAGUAGUC